Molecule: ribosomal RNA, 493 nt
Filed under: beta proteobacterium Mzo1
Lineage: Bacteria; Pseudomonadati; Pseudomonadota; Betaproteobacteria
Description: bacterial SSU rRNA
Rfam family: Bacterial small subunit ribosomal RNA
Source: RNAcentral
AAACCCUGAUCCCAGCAAUGCCGCGUGUGUGAAGAAGGCCUUCGGGUUGUAAAGCACUUUUGUCAGGAACGAAACGGUGGGGGCUAAUAUCCUCUGCUAAUGACGGUACCUGAAGAAUAAGCACCGGCUAACUAGGUGCCAGCAGCCGCGGUAAUACGUAGGGUGCGAGCGUUAAUCGGAAUUACUGGGCGUAAAGCGUGCGCAGGCGGUUGUGCAAGACAGAUGUGAAAUCCCCGGGCUUAACCUGGGAAUUGCAUUUGUGACUGCACGGCUAGAGUGUGUCAGAGGGGGGUAGAAUUCCACGUGUAGCAGUGAAAUGCGUAGAUAUGUGGAGGAAUACCGAUGGCGAAGGCAGCCCCCUGGGAUAACACUGACGCUCAUGCACGAAAGCGUGGGGAGCAAACAGGAUUAGAUACCCUGGUAGUCCACGCCCUAAACGAUGUCUACUAGUUGUCGGGUCUUAAUUGACUUGGUAACGCAGCUAACGCGUGAA